CAGACACGUUCAUGUCUAUCCCUACCAGACACGUUCAUGUCUAUCCCUACCAGACACGUUCAUGUCUAUCCCUACCAGACACGUUCAUGACACGUAGGUUAAAAUUCCAAAACCAACUUUUAAUUAAUAUAUUAAUUUGGGGACAGGUCGAAACACACAUGAAACAUUUGCUGUUGCUAGCUAAUUUGUCUGGGAGAUAAACAUUGGGUUGCUAUUUAGUUUUGUUCAUCUUUCUUAUGUGGAUUUUAUAUGGCUGUGUGGACCUUGUUCAUCUUCCAAUCACUCACGUGGGUAUAUGCUUGUAAAAACCAAUGAGUAGAUGGUAAGGCGGGACUUACAGCGCAUUAAGCGUCUAAAAUAGAACCAAGUUCUAUUUUAGUGCCUGGCUAUGCAGACGGCCGUUGAUGCGCAUGAGCAGUUUGGAUUAAAUGAUUGAAUAGCAUGUAUGUGGACAUUUAUUUUCCAACACACAAGCGGACAUUUUGGUCAGUAUGUUAGACAGAGACUCAUUUUCGGGACACAUUUUGGGGACUCGUUUUCAAUGGUAAAUCUUUCUUUUCUUCUUAUAUAAUCUAUUUGGAAGACUGCACUUCUACAUUGAAUACACUGUGUAAAUAUUGCCAUGGGAUGAUUUUGAACUUUGAACUCUAGGUAAUGAAAAGGGGGCAGUCAGUCAGUGAUCACCCAGCAUAGCUUUAAGAAUGUUCAGCCAAAGUCUUGUUUUCUACAAUCGCUGUUUUUUUUAUACUUUAUUUUUCUUUUUGACCAGAUUGUUUUAAACUAUUAUUGUCAGGUGAAUGUAUUUCCAUACUUUCCAUCUCCCCAAAAUAGCAAAUGUUGUUGCAUGUAAAUGUGGACAGAGAAUGCAAAGAACUUGAAGCGUCGCUAAGAUUGUCCUUCUUCUAUUGCCAUGGUUGUGCUGUUGUUGAUCUCUUAUUGAACCGGUUGCCCUUCCAUUCCGUAGGUGAACAGAUACUCCAUCCGCUAGAAACACCCCAAUCUUUUUGUUUGUUUGCUGUUUUGUUAUUAACCUUGGCACGACUGUACUACAGAAGCAGACCAACAGGUCUGUAUGUCUGAGGUGGAUGGCGAACUAAAGAACAGCCAGACAGUCCUGGCACAGUUUGGUUUCUCUGUUGGACAAGCCCAUUGCUGCUUCUGACCAAUCUGUAAGACCUUUCCUCUUAUUGCACAUGUUUCAAUUAUGACUCAUGUAUGACCAAAUGAAACAUGCCAAGGCAUUGGGCAAUAACUGUUGACUGUAAAGGACUGCAUUGCUUCUCUAAAGCGUUGUCUUUCUUAGAUAGCUUUCUUUUCAUUGGGUUUGAAAACUGGAAUAUCACAUUUGAAAGUCAUAACCCCUUUAUUUUACAUAGGCCGAUGUUUACCCGAACCAGUUCUUGUGUUUUAAUACAUUUUCAAUUGCAUCUAAUUGCGAAAAGACAGAAAAAUAACUUUCUGUAAUUGAUAUGAUACACCGUAAUAGACACUGGUGUUAUUUUUGUAUAAACAUAAUAUCAUCUGUGUGGCAUGCAUGAUGUAUAAACAACUUGGUGGUUUAAAGCAAUAUGUCCAACCUGGUAGGAUUGGUACUUUCGUGUUCUGUGUAGCCUAAACCACGCUGUACUAGAGAGAAGAAAAAAAUGCCAUUUGUAAAAAAGCUAGCUGUUCAAUGUUCUGCAUGUUUAAGUAUGGAAUGAGACAUCCCAAAUGUUUAACUGCUUCCAAAACUCCCACAUUUUGACUGAGUUGCUGUCCCAGUGAAACACACUGAGAGGAUGCUGCCUUGAAAAUAUAGGAUGGAAUGGAGGAGAGAUGGGACGGGGUGGAGGAGGGAUGGGGUGGGUGGAUGAAUGGGGUGGA
This is a long non-coding RNA of Oncorhynchus tshawytscha (Chinook salmon), 1863 nucleotides long. Lineage: Eukaryota; Metazoa; Chordata; Actinopteri; Salmoniformes; Salmonidae. The record is from Ensembl.